AAAAAAGGUAAGUUACUAAGAGCGAAUGGUGGAUGCCUUGACUGGUAAAGGCGAUGAAGGACGUACUAGACUGCGAUAAGCUACGGGGAGCUGUCAAGAAGCUUUGAUCCGUAGAUUUCCGAAUGGGGCAACCCAAUGUAUAGAGAUAUACAUUACCUAUAUAGGAGCGAACGAGGGGAAUUGAAACAUCUUAGUACCCUCAGGAAAAGAAAUCAAUAGAGAUUGCGUCAGUAGCGGCGAGCGAAAGCGCAAGAGGGCAAACCCAGUGCUUGCACUGGGGGUUGUAGGACUGCAAUGUGCAAGAGGUGAGUUUAGCAGAACAUUCUGGAAAGUAUAGCCAUAGAGGGUGAUAGUCCCGUAUGCGAAAAACAAACCUUAGCUAGCAGUAUCCUGAGUAGGGCGGGACACGAGAAAUCCUGUCUGAAGCUGGGUCGACCACGAUCCAACCCUAAAUACUAAUACCAGAUCGAUAGUGCACAAGUACCGUGAGGGAAAGGUGAAAAGAACUGAGGUGAUCAGAGUGAAAUAGAACCUGAAACCAUUUGCUUACAAUCAUUCAGAGCCCUAUGUAGCAAUACAGGGUGAUGGACUGCCUUUUGCAUAAUGAGCCUGCGAGUUGUGGUGUCUGGCAAGGUUAAGCAAACGCGAAGCCGUAGCGAAAGCGAGUCUGAAUAGGGCGCUUAGUCAGAUGCUGCAGACCCGAAACGAAGUGAUCUAUCCAUGAGCAAGUUGAAGCUAGUGUAAGAACUAGUGGAGGACUGAACCCAUAGGCGUUGAAAAGCCCCGGGAUGACUUGUGGAUAGGGGUGAAAGGCCAAUCAAACUUCGUGAUAGCUGGUUCUCUCCGAAAUAUAUUUAGGUAUAGCGUUGUGUCGUAAUAUAAGGGGGUAGAGCACUGAAUGGGCUAGGGCAUACACCAAUGUACCAAACCCUAUCAAACUCCGAAUACCUUAUAUGUAAUCACAGCAGUCAGGCGGCGAGUGAUAAAAUCCGUCGUCGAGAGGGGAACAACCCAGACUACCAGCUAAGGUCCCUAAAUCUUAUUUGAGUGGAAAACGAUGUGAAGUUACUUUAACAACCAGGAGGUUGGCUUAGAAGCAGCCAUCCUUUAAAGAAAGCGUAAUAGCUCACUGGUCUAGUGAUUUUGCGC
This 1149-nucleotide ribosomal RNA is filed under the name Campylobacter coli. RNAcentral's name for it is "partial 23S ribosomal RNA". It matches the Rfam family "Bacterial large subunit ribosomal RNA", at positions 1 to 1164 of the family's 2925-position model. Lineage: Bacteria; Pseudomonadati; Campylobacterota; Epsilonproteobacteria; Campylobacterales; Campylobacteraceae. The record is from RNAcentral.